Rhipicephalus microplus (southern cattle tick) is the source of this 478-nucleotide long non-coding RNA. RefSeq lists it as uncharacterized. The record is from RefSeq and is a predicted model, not a curated record. NCBI's taxonomy places the organism in Eukaryota, Metazoa, Arthropoda, Arachnida, Ixodida, Ixodidae.
AUAUCGCACUCUGUUCUUCGAUAUCACUCGACGGACCUGCUCGCAAGCAGCCUCUCCUCUCGAAACCAUGGACCUGGACCUCAGCAUGCUAAUCCGCAACAGCGAAUGCUGUGGCGACGUUCUUCUAGUCUUCUAAGCAAGGCAGCCAUGGUCCUCGGACAGCUUACACCACCCACUUUUUUUUCGCCCUGCGGAUGACAUCCAACUCGACCCAUUGAUGACCCAGCAUGGUUUAGGAUAAAGACGCCCAUCUCCCGGCCUGUGACAUGUCCCGAAAAGAACACCUCGAUGCCAUGCGUCGAGGUAUCUUCAAGGAAGACCGCUGACUGAGCACAAGAAUAGAUGUCGCUACAGAAUAGAAUGAAGAAUAUUUCGCUACAACCCCUGUAAGGCGCCUCCCUACAAUACUUGUAUGAAAAACAUUCAUGACAAACUAAAACAAUUUUGCAAAUAAAAAGAAGGCAUUCUGCCAAAACAA